CAGCUUUGAACUGAACUCCUUGGUGGGAGACGGUGCUUGUCCCACAGCAGAGCCAUGCUCUGUCUGUGUGAGGUGGUGAGGAAGCCCCAUUCCCACUGCCAGGCUCCCUGUUGGCCUCACAAACCUAAUCAGAUGAGACCCAGAGCAACCAGUUUGCUGACAGUGUGCCCCCAGCGAUUGCCUACGUCUCACAGAGCAUAUGAAGGGCUUGCUGUGUGGAAAGCCCCAUCCUCAGUAUUCAGGACAGUGAUCUGCCCAGCUGAGUCAUGCCUCCUACUGAAGCAUAGUGGUGAAUAAAUGUAGUGUGCACAUAGGCAGCGUAUCACUUGUGUUGCUUCCCCGAGAGGCAUGGCACAUCCAACAAGUGCAAACCUACCUGGACAGAGGACCUCAGAGGACCUUGGUUUAGCCUGGUGGUCCUCCCCAGGGAGACAAGUGGAAGGCAACAGCUGAUCUCAGAUGAGAGAACGUUUCACUCUAGGAGGAUGUGGCCAAGAAAGAGAAGUGGCUCAUCCUGGCUACAUCAGCCCAGCUCAUAGGGUCACCCAGCUGUACAGCCUCAGCAUCUGUGGAGUGGGUGGUUAACAGCAGAUUGAUUUGGUCUUGGCUG
RNAcentral lists this long non-coding RNA (610 nucleotides) under Gallus gallus (chicken). RNAcentral describes it as "long non-coding RNA NONGGAT012074". Lineage: Eukaryota; Metazoa; Chordata; Aves; Galliformes; Phasianidae. The record is from RNAcentral.